This is a long non-coding RNA of Amblyraja radiata (thorny skate), 103 nucleotides long. RefSeq lists it as uncharacterized. The transcript has 3 exons. Lineage: Eukaryota; Metazoa; Chordata; Chondrichthyes; Rajiformes; Rajidae. The record is from RefSeq and is a predicted model, not a curated record.
GCAUCUGUCAGAGCAGGGAUUAUUAAGGAAGUGGAAAGCAUUGUGGAGCAAGCCCUGAAACUGUACAGCGCUGACAGGGUUGGAUUGAUGGACUGGACGCACU